AUUGAACGCUGGCGGCAGGCCUAACACAUGCAAGUCGAGCGAGCGGCGGACUGGUGAGUAAUGUAUGGGGACUGCCCGAUAGAGGGGGAUAAAUACUGGAAACGGUAGCUAAUACCGCAUACUAUAGGAUAAACCAUAGGGGAUUAGCUAGUCGGUGAGGUAAUGGCUCACCUAGGCGACGAUCCCUAGCUGGUCUGAGAGGAUGAUCAGCCGCACUGGGACUGAGACACGGCCCCGCCUCCUACGGAGGCAGCAUUGGGGAAUAUUGCACAAUGGGCUCAAGCCUGAUGCAGCCCUGCCGCGUGUAUGAAGAAGGCCCUAGGGUUUUAAAGUACUUUCAGUCGGGCGGCGUUACCGACAGAAGAAGCACCGGCUAACUCCGUGCCAGCAGCCGCGGUAAUAC
Molecule: ribosomal RNA, 403 nt
Filed under: uncultured bacterium
Lineage: Bacteria
Description: partial 16S ribosomal RNA
Rfam family: Bacterial small subunit ribosomal RNA
Source: RNAcentral